Arabidopsis thaliana (thale cress) is the source of this 409-nucleotide long non-coding RNA. RefSeq annotates it as other RNA. The record is from RefSeq. Lineage: Eukaryota; Viridiplantae; Streptophyta; Magnoliopsida; Brassicales; Brassicaceae. The transcript has a single exon.
ACUUUCUCUUAUGGGUUGCUUCCAUAAAAGUAACCAUAUCUGGAAGUUCUCCUGUCACUUUAUCACGCUAAACAGUUUUGAAACACACAAAUAUGUCAUUAUAGAAAACUUGGACUGAAUUUGACAGAAAGUAUAUUAUAUGCAAAAAUAAUACAAAUUACCAUCUCUUCUCUUCUCCGGACAUAUGAAAUUGACCCACAUGUAUGCUUAGCUAUCCCUAAGCCACCAAGAUCGCUCUUCUUAUUUUGGAGUUGGCUUUGCUUCUCUUGAUGCUUUUCUCGUUUUCCCAAAAAGCAAUAAGACUAAUCCAAAGAGAGUUCAGCAUCCAUUGGGGCUUCCCCUUGUCUUGCUUCUAUGCCUUUUUCCAUUCAUGGACAUAUCCAGCAAACGAGAUGCACACAAAGUCUCA